GUCUACGGCCAUGCCACUCUGAACAAGCCCGACAUCUGAACUCGGAAGCCAAGCAGGGUCAGGCCUGGUUAGUACUUGGAUGGGAGACCAUCUAGGAAGACCAAGUGCUGUCGGAG
RNAcentral lists this ribosomal RNA (116 nucleotides) under Pteropus alecto (black flying fox). Lineage: Eukaryota; Metazoa; Chordata; Mammalia; Chiroptera; Pteropodidae. The record is from RNAcentral.